This 669-nucleotide long non-coding RNA is filed under the name Dermacentor andersoni. RNAcentral's name for it is "uncharacterized LOC126521684". The record is from RNAcentral. Lineage: Eukaryota; Metazoa; Arthropoda; Arachnida; Ixodida; Ixodidae.
ACGCACGGGCAGCAAGCAUUUUCAGCGAGAGGAGAGCACGGAAGGACGCAAACGCACGCGCGCGAAACAAUCGAUUAGCUGAGUGCUUGGUGAUCUGUUGGUGUAGCUAGAUCUUGAUUACCAGAUUCUAUUUCAGUGACACUGUGAUUCUCAGCCCCGUGGGCGCCGGCUUUCGCGUUUGCGGCUUCUUCAUGCACGAUGGUUUACUUCUGCAUACCGUUGUGAAAGUCAAGCGGCCGAGCAUCAAGAGGAAUUUCAUUUCAUGAGUUCCCCGUGACCGAUAUUAGAAACCAAUGCUUAUAGUUAUGCUUUAUGAUUUAGCCUAUGAUUAUUCUUACGGUUUAGCUUAUGGUUAUGCUUUAUGAUUUAGCCUAUGGAUAUGCUUACGGUUUAACUUAUGGAUAUGCUUAUGGUUUAAGUUAUUGAUAUGCUUACGGUUUACCUUAUGCUUUAUGAUUUAGCCUAUGGUUAUAUAUGCUUACGGUUUCACUUAUGGAUAUGCUGAAGAUUUGGUAAGCUUAUGGUUAUGCUAUACGUGUGCCUUUUGUAGUGAUGCAAAUUGCUUAUGAAUUAUGUAUACCAUAAGUUAUGCAGGAUUAUUAAUCUUCUUUAUUCAUCGUUGUUGGGCACAUUGUCUUGCGAUUUCUGUACAGCCAUAAACACAGCUCU